This 337-nucleotide unclassified non-coding RNA is filed under the name soil metagenome. RNAcentral describes it as "partial contains 5.8S ribosomal RNA, internal transcribed spacer 2, and large subunit ribosomal RNA". The stretch from base 1 to 120 matches the Rfam family "5.8S ribosomal RNA", at positions 35 to 154 of the family's 154-position model. The record is from RNAcentral.
GAUGAAGAACGCAGCGAAAUGCGAUAAGUAAUGUGAAUUGCAGAAUUCAGUGAAUCAUCGAAUCUUUGAACGCACAUUGCGCCCGCCAGUAUUCUGGCGGGCAUGCCUGUUCGAGCGUCAUUUCAACCAUCAAGCCCCCCGGCUUGUGUUGGGGACCUGCGGCUGCCGCAGGCCCUGAAAAGCAGUGGCGGGCUCGCUGUCACACCGAGCGUAGUAGAUCUCAUCUCGCUCAGGGCGUGCUGCGGGUUCCGGCCGUUAAACCACCUUCAUAACCCAAGGUUGACCUCGGAUCAGGUAGGAAGACCCGCUGAACUUAAGCAUAUCAAUGAGCGGAGGA